GCUACACAGCGAUGUGAUGCUAAUCUCCAAACCAUGUCUCAGUUCGGAUCGGAGUCUGCAACUCGACUCCGUGAAGCUGGAUUCGCUAGUAAUCGCGCAUCAGCCAUGGCGCGGUGAAUACGUUCCCGGGCCUUGUACACACCGCCCGUCAAGCCAUGGGAGCCGGGGGUACCUGAAGUCCGUAACCGCGAGGAUCGGCCUAGGGUAAAACUGGUGACUGGGGCUAAGUCGUAACAAGGUACC
This 243-nucleotide ribosomal RNA is filed under the name uncultured bacterium. RNAcentral's name for it is "partial 16S ribosomal RNA". It matches the Rfam family "Bacterial small subunit ribosomal RNA", at positions 1249 to 1500 of the family's 1533-position model. The record is from RNAcentral.